CGAACGGGUGAGUAACGCGUGAGGAACCUGCCUCAAAGAGGGGGACAACAGUUGGAAACGACUGCUAAUACCGCAUAAGCCCACGGGUCGGCAUCGACCUGAGGGAAAAGGAGCAAUCCGCUUUGAGAUGGCCUCGCGUCCGAUUAGCUAGUUGGUGAGGUAACGGCCCACCAAGGCGACGAUCGGUAGCCGGACUGAGAGGUUGAACGGCCACAUUGGGACUGAGACACGGCCCAG
This 237-nucleotide ribosomal RNA is filed under the name uncultured bacterium. Its description in RNAcentral is "partial 16S ribosomal RNA". It matches the Rfam family "Bacterial small subunit ribosomal RNA", at positions 99 to 334 of the family's 1533-position model. The record is from RNAcentral.